Molecule: ribosomal RNA, 300 nt
Filed under: uncultured bacterium
Lineage: Bacteria
Description: bacterial SSU rRNA
Rfam family: Bacterial small subunit ribosomal RNA
Source: RNAcentral
AGUGAACGCUGGCGGCAGGCCUAAUACAUGCAAGUCGAACGGCAGCACAGUGGAGCUUGCUCCAUGGGUGGCGAGUGGCGGACGGGUGAGGAAUACAUGGGAAUCUGCCCAGUCGUGGGGGAUAACGUAUGGAAACGUACGCUAAUACCGCAUGCGCCCUUCGGGGGAAGGUCGGGGACCGCAAGGCCUGACGCGAUUGGAUGAGCCACUGUUCGAUUAGCUAGUUGGCGGGGUAACGGCCCACCCAAGGCGACGAUCGAUAGCUGGUCUGAGAGGAUGAUCAGCCACACUGGAACUGAG